GAGGUAGAUAGGUUGGAGGUGGAAGUGCAGCAAUGCAUGGAGCUGACCAAUACUAAUCGGUCGAGGGCUUAUCCUAUA
This 78-nucleotide ribosomal RNA is filed under the name Paenibacillus odorifer. Its description in RNAcentral is "partial 23S ribosomal RNA". It matches the Rfam family "Bacterial large subunit ribosomal RNA", at positions 2849 to 2925 of the family's 2925-position model. The record is from RNAcentral. Lineage: Bacteria; Bacillati; Bacillota; Bacilli; Caryophanales; Paenibacillaceae.